UUUAGCAACUUAUGUAGCUAGAAGGCUUUGACGACAUGAAAUAAUUGACUUUGUUCAAGAUAAAUUUAGCGAAUACUCCUGGAGUCUGCGAUCUCUAUUUUUGGUAUUAAAUAUACAGACUAUACUAUUGAUAUAGGGAGAUCUCUAAGGACCUGGGCGCCUUUUAGGUUAUAGGGCAAUGCACCAAAAUGUACGAGAGAUCCAUCUCCUAAAUGUCCCCAGAGACCUGAUGUAUGCAGUUAUGCAAGAAUUGGAUGCUAGUGGAUUAGAAGAAAGAGGUGGUGUUGGAAAACCGAAACGUCCAAGGAGGGAAAGGAAUUUUUAUUCAGAAGGGCCAGACUAUACACUGUCAUUAGAUGGCCAUGAUAAAUUAUGCGGCUACCCGAAAUCCACUUUUCCCUUGUGUGUUUAUGGUUGUCAAGACACCUAUAGUGGGAGAAUUCAGUUCCUUAAAGUAUCUACAAGCAACAAUGAUCCAAAGAUAAUAGGAACAUUCUAUCUCGAAUAUUUAUAUGAAACUAGAAGACAGAGGUACAGAAACAGGAGAUAUGACCACAAUGCAUUGUUAUCUAAUUGACAAGUAUCUUGCAGUUGAGGAUGCAACAGAUUUCGUCCUAUAUGGUCCUUCCACUGGGAAUAAAAUUGAACGAUUUACGAGAGACUUACAUUACAGACUGGAGAUUUACUUUAAAAAACAGAUUUCUGGUCUUUUAGAAAAUGGAGAUUAUAAUCCAUCAAAUGAAAAAGAUAGGUAAGAUAAUUACUAUUAUUACUGGAUAAGUUAUACCCAUCAGUGAUAUUUUAUGCUGAUAAACACAAUUCAAGUGGAAAAUGUAAGCUUUGGCCAUACAACAUUGAUUUGUGCUUUUUAUAUGCUCACUUGAAAUGUAUGGUGUAUUAUAUGACAAUAUUCGCUCGUUCACAAUUGAUGGCACAGGGUGCCUUUAAUGGUAUUAUCUGGGGGUCUCUAUCAUUUUUUUGUGUGAAUUUGAAACAAAUUGUUUGAAUAAUACCCCUUUAUUAGACGCAAAUUUACAUUAACUAAAUACAGUGGUUUUAUGGGUAGCCAAGGAGGGUCUCUGUUGUUUUUUACACAAUUCUGAACAACAUGUUCGAAUUUUUCCUAUUACUUGACACAAUUCUUGUGUGAAAGCUGCUGUGUGGGUGUAUUAACACGCUUUGCGUAGCUAUCUGGAUAUAAAUCAUUUCUUUGGCAAUACAGAUGACAAAUUAGGUCUAAAUUAGCAAAGUACUCUUGAUUUCAGUACCAUUAGGAUCACCAAUUAUUGUCAGGAAAAGGUCGGAAAUCCACUACUGACAUAAUAA
Long non-coding RNA from Patella vulgata (common limpet), 1326 nucleotides. RefSeq lists it as uncharacterized. The transcript has 4 exons. The record is from RefSeq and is a predicted model, not a curated record. NCBI's taxonomy places the organism in Eukaryota, Metazoa, Mollusca, Gastropoda, Patellidae.